GUCCCUGUGGAUCAAGGCAGAUCGCUCCUGCCCUAUUAAAGUUCGGCCAUUCCGCGUAUGACAAAUUAGUGGAGAGACGGGCGUUCGAGUCGCUCCGGGGACA
Molecule: non-coding RNA, 103 nt
Organism: Mycena leptocephala
Lineage: Eukaryota; Fungi; Basidiomycota; Agaricomycetes; Agaricales; Mycenaceae
Source: the annotation of a GenBank genome assembly